This is a long non-coding RNA of Prunus dulcis (almond), 234 nucleotides long. RefSeq lists it as uncharacterized. The transcript has 2 exons. Lineage: Eukaryota; Viridiplantae; Streptophyta; Magnoliopsida; Rosales; Rosaceae. The record is from RefSeq and is a predicted model, not a curated record.
GCUUCUGAACUGUCUUUGAGGCACGUGUAUGAGAUCGCCAAGGCCCUUGUUUAAAGCUUUGGUUGCCUUGUGUUCAGAAUCGCAAUGAUGCACAAUCACUUGUGUGCCACGAAAAUAUGUAUCGUAAACGCUUCAAACGGAUUCACUAAAGCUUCAUCAUCGUUUGAUUUACUAUUCACUACAGCUCUAUAAAUACUAUGUACUAUUUUUUUUAUACUAAUUAGUCUUCAUUCA